ACUCGCGCUACCCUCUCCCGCCCGAACGUCAGUACGAAAAAAUACGCGGCGCCAUUACGACAUUGCAUUUAAAAUAACCUAAAAUUUUUUUUAAUUUAAAAUGUGCUUAUAAAGUAAUAUAGUGUCUGUAUAUUAAAGUGGACAUUUGUGACAUUUUUAAACAAUGUUUAAAUUUUUAUUACUAAAUGUUAUCGCAUAUUAUUUUAAAUUCACGAGCAACACUUCAAGACUAAUUUCCUAGAUCAGAAGAGAAAUUAGUGCAAUGAAGGUGUAAGGUGCGGGAUGCGCGAUGCGGUGGUCAGGCGGCGGUGCGGGGGGCGGCUAGCAUGGCGGUGCUGCUGCUAGGCUGGC
Papilio xuthus (Asian swallowtail) is the source of this 351-nucleotide long non-coding RNA. RefSeq lists it as uncharacterized. The transcript is spliced from 3 exons. Lineage: Eukaryota; Metazoa; Arthropoda; Insecta; Lepidoptera; Papilionidae. The record is from RefSeq and is a predicted model, not a curated record.